This 362-nucleotide long non-coding RNA is filed under the name Capsicum annuum. RNAcentral's name for it is "long non-coding RNA (CANN_LNC014072)". Lineage: Eukaryota; Viridiplantae; Streptophyta; Magnoliopsida; Solanales; Solanaceae. The record is from RNAcentral.
AUGCAUGACUCAUGCUAGCAUAUAAGUUUGAAAUGAAAGCAAAGGAUCUCACAAUGCAUAGCAUAAAGACAACAGCAAUAGCAACAACAACAAUAAUAAUAAUAGCAACAACAACAACAAGAAGAACAACAGAAACAACAGCAGCAGCAACAACAACAACAACAACAAUAACUACAGCAGCAAGAACAGCACUACCAACACUACCACCACCAACAAGAACAGCAACAACAACAGUAACAACAACAACAACUACAACAACAACAACAACAACACAAACAACAACAGCAACAACAACAGCAACAACAACAGCAACAACAAUAGCGACAACAACAACAACAACAAGAACAACACCAAGAACAACA